AUUUAAAUAGUGUAAAUUUUAAACACUUAACAUUUUCAUUGUUAAAUUCUUUUCAUUAAGUUUAAAUU
Molecule: transfer RNA, 68 nt
Filed under: Dermacentor reticulatus
Lineage: Eukaryota; Metazoa; Arthropoda; Arachnida; Ixodida; Ixodidae
Description: tRNA-Glu
Source: RNAcentral